This 305-nucleotide ribosomal RNA is filed under the name uncultured bacterium. Its description in RNAcentral is "bacterial SSU rRNA". It matches the Rfam family "Bacterial small subunit ribosomal RNA", at positions 338 to 660 of the family's 1533-position model. The record is from RNAcentral.
CCUACGGGGGGCAGCAGUGGGGGAUAUUGCACAAUGGGCGCAAGCCUGAUGCAGCGACGCCGCGUGGGUGAAGAAGUACCUCGGUACGUAAAGCCCUAUCAGCAGGGAAGAAAAUGACGGUACCUGACUAAGAAGCUCCGGCUAAAUACGUGCCAGCAGCCGCGGUAAUACGUAUGGAGCAAGCGUUAUCCGGAUUUACUGGGUGUAAAGGGAGCGUAGGCGGCAUACCAAGCCUGAUGUGAAAACCCGGGGCCCAACCCCGGGAGUGCAUUGGGAACUGGCAAGCUAGAGUGUCGGAGAGGCAG